RNAcentral lists this ribosomal RNA (301 nucleotides) under uncultured bacterium. RNAcentral's name for it is "partial 16S ribosomal RNA". It matches the Rfam family "Bacterial small subunit ribosomal RNA", at positions 509 to 807 of the family's 1533-position model. The record is from RNAcentral.
CAGUCGCCGCGGUAAUACGUAGGUGGCAAGCGUUGUCCGGAAUUAUUGGGCGUAAAGGGCUCGCAGGCGGUUUCUUAAGUCUGAUGUGAAAGCCCCCGGCUCAACCGGGGAGGGUCAUUGGAAACUGGGAAACUUGAGUGCAGAAGAGGAGAGUGGAAUUCCACGUGUAGCGGUGAAAUGCGUAGAGAUGUGGAGGAACACCAGUGGCGAAGGCGACUCUCUGGGUCCCCACUGACGCUGGGGUGCGAAAGCAUGGGGAGGAAACAGGAUCAGAUACCCCCGUAGUCCCUGUCUCUUAUAC